This 482-nucleotide ribosomal RNA is filed under the name Clostridiales bacterium canine oral taxon 028. RNAcentral describes it as "bacterial SSU rRNA". It matches the Rfam family "Bacterial small subunit ribosomal RNA", at positions 9 to 497 of the family's 1533-position model. The record is from RNAcentral. Lineage: Bacteria; Bacillati; Bacillota; Clostridia; Eubacteriales.
GAGUUUGAUCAUGGCUCAGGACGAACGCUGGCGGCGCGCCUAACACAUGCAAGUCGAGCGGGAGUGAUUGAGGGGUAACCCGAGAGCACUUUAGCGGCGGACGGGUGAGUAACGCGUGAGCAACCUGCCUUUUACAGGGGGAUAACGUGCCGAAAGGCACACUAAUACCGCAUGAGACCACAAGCAUACAUAUGGAAGGGGUCAAAGGAGAAAUCCGGUAAGAGAUGGGCUCGCGUCCGAUUAGAUAGUUGGUGAGGUAACGGCUCACCAAGUCAACGAUCGGUAGCCGACCUGAGAGGGUGAUCGGCCACAUUGGAACUGAGAGACGGUCCAAACUCCUACGGGAGGCAGCAGUGGGGAAUAUUGGGCAAUGGGGGAAACCCUGACCCAGCGACGCCGCGUGAAGGAAGAAGGUCUUCGGAUUGUAAACUUCUGUUUCUUGGUGAAAGAGGGAAAGACGNAGCCAAAGGAGGAGCCCCGGU